GACGGAGGGUGCUAGCGUUGUUCGGAAUCACUGGGCGUAAAGGGCGCGUAGGCGGCCUUGCAAGUCGGUUGGUGAAAGCCCGGGGCUCAACCCCGGAGGUGCGGCCGAGACUGCAGGGCUGGAGGCCGGAAGAGGAGGGUGGAAUACCCAGUGUAGAGGUGAAAUUCGUAGAUAUUGGGUGGAACACCGGUGGCGAAAGCGGCUCACUGGCUCGGUUCUGACGCUGAGGCGCGAAAGCGUGGGGAGCAAACAGG
This 254-nucleotide ribosomal RNA is filed under the name uncultured bacterium. RNAcentral describes it as "partial 16S ribosomal RNA". It matches the Rfam family "Bacterial small subunit ribosomal RNA", at positions 524 to 776 of the family's 1533-position model. The record is from RNAcentral.